GACGAACGCUGGCGGCGUGCUUAACACAUGCAAGUCGAACGGAAAGGCCUGCUUUCCCUUGUGGAUUGCGGGUACUCGAGUGGCGAACGGGUGAGUAACACGUGAGUGAUCUGCCCCCAACUUGGGUAUAAGCCUGGGAAACUGGGUCUAAUUCCCGAUAGGACUGCAGGGUGGUGCCUGUGGUGGAAAACGAUUUUCUAGUGGUUGGGGAUGAGCUCGCGGCCUAUCAGCUUGUUGGUGGGGUAAUGGCCUACCAAGGCGGCGACGGGUAGCCGGCCUGGGAGGGUGGACGGCCACAUUGGGACUGAGAUACGGCCCAGACGCCUACGGGAGGCAGCAGUGGGGAAUAUUGCACAAUGAGCGGAAGCCUGAUGCAGCGACGCCGCGUGGGGGAUGACGGCCUUCGGGUUGUAAACUCCUUUCGACCGCGAGGAAGCCACCUGGUUGGAAGGGUGGUGACGGUAGUGGUAGAAGAAGCACCGGCUAACUACGUG
RNAcentral lists this ribosomal RNA (494 nucleotides) under uncultured bacterium. Its description in RNAcentral is "partial 16S ribosomal RNA". It matches the Rfam family "Bacterial small subunit ribosomal RNA", at positions 28 to 507 of the family's 1533-position model. The record is from RNAcentral.